Molecule: long non-coding RNA, 503 nt
Organism: Telopea speciosissima
Lineage: Eukaryota; Viridiplantae; Streptophyta; Magnoliopsida; Proteales; Proteaceae
Exons: 3
Source: RefSeq, a predicted model, not a curated record
AAACAGAAAGAAGAAGCUAACCCAGAUCCACUUGAAGGAUAUGGUGGAAAUAGAGCGGGUAGUUAUGGGAAUAUAAUUAUGGUUUUGAUUGUUCUUGCCGGCCUUGUUCAAGGUCGCAUAAUGGCAAUUUUGCUAACCACGGUCUGGUGUUUCGUGGUAAAAUUAGUUCAAACCUUGAACAGAAAAUCCUGAAGAUAUCUUAACAUCAGGUCAUCCCUCAGAGAUGUCAAAUGUGAGAUCUUGGUGAAAGAACCCUUUUGUAUUUAUGCUGUUCCUGGGUUCUUUGGGAAUUCCUCCCAAGCUUCAAGUUGUAUAAUCAGAGCUCAGUAUCCUUGAAGGUUCAACUUUUUGUUGGCAAUACAACUUCGAUUUGUUGCACUCUGUAAUGGUAUACUGUAAAUUUUCAGAUACAGAUUGUAACUUGUGCCUAAAGAUGCCAAAUUCUCUUUUAUGUAACAAUGUUUCCUAUUUGGAAAAGAAUUUUCCGUCAUCAUUUGGGGUUU